Molecule: ribosomal RNA, 211 nt
Filed under: uncultured bacterium
Lineage: Bacteria
Description: partial 16S ribosomal RNA
Rfam family: Bacterial small subunit ribosomal RNA
Source: RNAcentral
GAUAAACGCUGGCGGCGUGCCUAACACAUGCAAGUCGAACGCCCUUACGCAAGUAAGGGAGUGGCGGACGGGUGAGGAACACGUGGGUGAUCUGCCUUGAGGUGAGGAAUACCGGCGAGAAAUCGCCGACAAUACCGCAUACGUUCGCAAGAACAAAGUCGCAAGACGCCUUGAGAUGAGCCUGCGUCCGAUUAGCUAGUUGGUGGGAAAG